GACGAACGCUGGCGGCGUGCUUAACACAUGCAAGUCGAACGGAAAGGCCCCUUUGGGGGUACUCGAGUGGCGAACGGGUGAGUAACACGUGAGUAACCUGCCCUUGACUUCGGGAUAACUUCAGGAAACUGGGGCUAAUACCGGAUAGGAAUCCUUGCUGCAUGGUGGGGGUUGGAAAGCUUCGGCGGUUUUGGAUGGACUCGCGGCUUAUCAGCUUGUUGGUGGGGUAGUGGCUUACCAAGGCUUUGACGGGUAGCCGGCCUGAGAGGGCGACCGGCCACAUUGGGACUGAGAUACGGCCCAGACUCCGACGGGAGGCAGCAGUGGGGAAUAUUGCACAAGGGGCGGAAGCCGGAUGCAGCAACGCCGCGUGCGGGAGGACGGCCUUCGGGUUGGAAACCGCUUUCAGCAGGGGCGAAGCUUGUGGUGACGGUACCUGCAGAAGAAGCACCGGCUAACUACGUG
RNAcentral lists this ribosomal RNA (465 nucleotides) under uncultured bacterium. RNAcentral describes it as "partial 16S ribosomal RNA". It matches the Rfam family "Bacterial small subunit ribosomal RNA", at positions 28 to 507 of the family's 1533-position model. The record is from RNAcentral.